ACGAACGCUGGCGGCGUGCUUAACACCUGCAAGUCGAACGGAAAGGCCCUGCUUUUGUGGGGUGCUCGAGUGGCGAACGGGUGAGUAACACGUGAGUAACCUGCCCUUGACUUUGGGAUAACUUCAGGAAACUGGGGCUAAUACCGGAUAGGAGCUCCUGCUGCAUGGUGGGGGUUGGAAAGUUUCGGCGGUUGGGGAUGGACUCGCGGCUUAUCAGCUUGUUGGUGGGGUAGUGGCUUACCAAGGCUUUGACGGGUAGCCGGCCUGAGAGGGCGACCGGCCACAUUGGGACUGAGAUACGGCCCAGACUCCUACGGGAGGCAGCAGUGGGGAAUAUUGCACAAUGGGCGGAAGCCUGAUGCAGCAACGCCGCGUGCGGGAUGACGGCCUUCGGGUUGUAAACCGCUUUCGCCUGUGACGAAGCGUGAGUGACGGUAAUGGGUAAAGAAGCACCGGCUAACUACGUG
RNAcentral lists this ribosomal RNA (467 nucleotides) under uncultured bacterium. Its description in RNAcentral is "partial 16S ribosomal RNA". It matches the Rfam family "Bacterial small subunit ribosomal RNA", at positions 29 to 507 of the family's 1533-position model. The record is from RNAcentral.